Vicia faba (fava bean) is the source of this 222-nucleotide non-coding RNA. The record is from the annotation of a GenBank genome assembly. Lineage: Eukaryota; Viridiplantae; Streptophyta; Magnoliopsida; Fabales; Fabaceae.
AUGUUGUUAACUGUUGUAGCUGCAAUAUUUGAGGCUUGCUGGGCCAAUGAGCCCUGGAAGUUGGAAAUUGCCUUCUUUUGCCAGCAUUAUGGAUUCUUUGAGAUGCAUUUGAUACUGAGAGCAACUUGUCGAGUCGAAACUCUGAUGAAACUUAAACCUGAGGGUGGUUCCAGUGUAUCACAAGAAUAUGGACAACAUAAUACCAUCUUCAAGAAGGCUUAG